Molecule: long non-coding RNA, 386 nt
Filed under: Apteryx rowi (Okarito brown kiwi)
Lineage: Eukaryota; Metazoa; Chordata; Aves; Apterygiformes; Apterygidae
Description: lncRNA (ENSARWG00000015516.1)
Source: RNAcentral
AUGAAGGUGCAGUCUUCCCAAUCCCAAUGUUACAGAGCUAUACUUAAAGCUGUCUCCUCAGUAACUGCUAUGUUGGCAUCUGUUUCAACACAUGCACGAGGAAAACUCACAAAGGAUACCAUCCUGGGAGCUGAGUCAUUCUCUAAAACAGGACUGUCCUCUUCUGAACAUAAAAUGUUUCUCUCCAGAACCUAAGGGUUUUUGACACUCUCUUUUCAGCAACUGGAUCUUCCACUGUCAAAGCUCUAUAAAUGAGCUAAUACCUCCAAAUGGUUGCCUUACAUUGGUCUCGCUAAUGUUUUUCUUUUUUCUGUAAGUAUCAUGUUUCUUAUGCAUUCCUUCCAUCUGGAAAUAAAUUGCACUGAAUAAGAUGAACCUUUUUAAAA